Molecule: long non-coding RNA, 573 nt
Organism: Cucurbita moschata (crookneck pumpkin)
Lineage: Eukaryota; Viridiplantae; Streptophyta; Magnoliopsida; Cucurbitales; Cucurbitaceae
Exons: 3
Source: RefSeq, a predicted model, not a curated record
AUGAAGAAGAUAAGAAGAAAUAAGAAGAAAUAAACUUACAAGUAAAAAAACUAUAAAGAGACUCUUAGAUUGGAAUCUUAUCUUUCUGAUAAAAUAUGGCACAUGAUGGGAAAAGUAUAGAGUUCCGAUCCUCCCCACCCAACACACACACCCAGAAGAUAUAAGAAGUAUUAUAAGAAACAUAAACAGAAGUGACAGAUAACCAUCAACAAAGUUCAAGCUGCCUCUUGCAAAAUUUUUGUCAAAGUACUCUAGCACUGAAAAAAUAAUAAUAUGAAACUCCAGUUCCAAAAAUUGGAAUUUCAAAAAAACUGUUCAUAUCUAAUAAGAAUGUUGGAACUGAAGACCGAGAGCUCAUCAAAUGAUCAUUUUGCAAUGUUUCUCCAGCCAGGUAACAUGGGAAAAGGCAGUGGGCGUAUCCCAGUUAAUAAGAUAUGAAGACUGUUGAAUGGAUAUCACACUUAGAAUCCCACAUGCCUUUGUGCAUAAAAACUAUUUAGGUCAGCUAGGUAACAGAAAUGAAAAGUAGAUGCUGAAACUAGAUAUUUGAUGGAAAAAUAUUCCAGUUCAGGA